GACGAACGCUGGCGGCGUGCUUAACACAUGCAAGUCGAACGGAAAGGCCCCUUUGGGGGUACUCGAGUGGCGCACGGGUGAGUAACACGUGAGUAACCUGCCCUUGACUUCGGGAUAACUUCAGGAAACUGGGGCUAAUACCGGAUAGGAAUCCUUGCUGCAUGGUGGGGGUUGGAAAGCUUCGGCGGUUUUGGAUGGACUCGCGGCUUAUCAGCUUGUUGGUGGGGUAGUGGCUUACCAAGGCUUUGACGGGUAGCCGGCCUGAGAGGGCGACCGGCCACAUUGGGACUGAGAGACGGCCCAGACGCCGACGGGAGGCAGCAGGGGGGAAUAUUGCACAAUGGGCGGAAGCCUGAUGCAGCAACGCCGCGUGCGGGAUGACGGCCUUCGGGUUGGAAACCGCGUUCAGCAGGGGCGAAGCUUGUGGUGACGGUACCUGCAGAAGAAGCACCGGCUAACUACGUG
Molecule: ribosomal RNA, 465 nt
Filed under: uncultured bacterium
Lineage: Bacteria
Description: partial 16S ribosomal RNA
Rfam family: Bacterial small subunit ribosomal RNA
Source: RNAcentral